UGGGGAAUAUUGGACAAUGGGCGAAAGCCUGAUCCAGCCAUGCCGCGUGUGUGAAGAAGGUCUUCGGAUUGUAAAGCACUUUAAGUUGGGAGGAAGGGCAUUAACCUAAUACGUUAGUGUUUUGACGUUACCGACAGAAUAAGCACCGGCUAACUCUGUGCCAGCAGCCGCGGUAAUACAGAGGGUGCAAGCGUUAACCGGAAUUACUGGGCGUAAAGCGCGCGUAGGUGGUUUGUUAAGUUGGAUGUGAAAUCCCCGGGCUCAACCUGGGAACUGCAUUCAAAACUGACUGACUAGAGUAUGGUAGAGGGUGGUGGAAUUUCCUGUGUAGCGGUGAAAUGCGUAGAUAUAGGAAGGAACACCAGUGGCGAAGGCGACCACCUGGACUAAUACUGACACUGAGGUGCGAAAGCGUGGGGAGCAAACA
This 427-nucleotide ribosomal RNA is filed under the name uncultured bacterium. RNAcentral describes it as "partial 16S ribosomal RNA". It matches the Rfam family "Bacterial small subunit ribosomal RNA", at positions 355 to 774 of the family's 1533-position model. The record is from RNAcentral.